Molecule: ribosomal RNA, 513 nt
Filed under: Staphylococcus aureus
Lineage: Bacteria; Bacillati; Bacillota; Bacilli; Caryophanales; Staphylococcaceae
Description: bacterial SSU rRNA
Rfam family: Bacterial small subunit ribosomal RNA
Source: RNAcentral
AGCUAGUUGGUAAGGUAACGGCUUACCAAGGCAACGAUGCAUAGCCGACCUGAGAGGGUGAUCGGCCACACUGGAACUGAGACACGGUCCAGACUCCUACGGGAGGCAGCAGUAGGGAAUCUUCCGCAAUGGGCGAAAGCCUGACGGAGCAACGCCGCGUGAGUGAUGAAGGUCUUCGGAUCGUAAAACUCUGUUAUUAGGGAAGAACAUAUGUGUAAGUAACUGUGCACAUCUUGACGGUACCUAAUCAGAAAGCCACGGCUAACUACGUGCCAGCAGCCGCGGUAAUACGUAGGUGGCAAGCGUUAUCCGGAAUUAUUGGGCGUAAAGCGCGCGUAGGCGGUUUUUUAAGUCUGAUGUGAAAGCCCACGGCUCAACCGUGGAGGGUCAUUGGAAACUGGAAAACUUGAGUGCAGAAGAGGAAAGUGGAAUUCCAUGUGUAGCGGUGAAAUGCGCAGAGAUAUGGAGGAACACCAGUGGCGAAGGCGACUUUCUGGUCUGUAACUGACGCUG